RNAcentral lists this ribosomal RNA (433 nucleotides) under uncultured bacterium. Its description in RNAcentral is "partial 16S ribosomal RNA". It matches the Rfam family "Bacterial small subunit ribosomal RNA", at positions 29 to 507 of the family's 1533-position model. The record is from RNAcentral.
AACGAACGCUGGCGGCAUGCCUAACACAUGCAAGUCGAACGAGACCUUCGGGUCUAGUGGCGCACGGGUGCGUAACGCGUGGGAACCUGCCCUUAGGUUCGGAAUAACUCCCCGAAAGGGGUGCUAAUACCGGAUAAUGUCUUCGGACCAAAGAUUUAUCGCCUUUGGAUGGGCCCGCGUUGGAUUAGGUAGUUGGUAGUGUAAAAGCAUACCAAGGCGACGAUCCAUAGCUGGUCUGAGAGGAUGAUCAGCCACACUGGGACUGAGACACGGCCCAGACUCCUACGGAAGGCAGCAGUAGGGAAUAUUGUACAAUGGGCGAAAGCGUGAUCCAGCAACGCCGCGUGUGUGAUGAAGGCCUUAGGGUUGUAAAGCUCUUUUACCCGGGAUGAUAAUGACAGUACCGGGAGAAUAAGCACCGGCUAACUACGUG